CAGUCGCCGCGGUAAUACAGAGGAUGCAAGCGUUAUCCAGAAUGAUUGGGCGUAAAGCGUCUGUAGGUGGCUUUUCAAGUCCGCCGUCAAAUCCCAAGGCUCAACCCUGGACAGGCGGUGGAGAAUACCAAGCUGGAGUACGGUAGGGGCAGAGGGAAUUUCCGGUGGAGCGGUGAAAUGCGUUGAGAUUGGAAAGAACACCAACGGUGAAAGCACUCUGCUGGGCCGACACUGACACUGAGAGACGAAAGCUAGGGGAGCAAAUGGGAUUAGAUACCCCUGUAGUCCCUGUCUCUUAUAC
Molecule: ribosomal RNA, 301 nt
Filed under: uncultured bacterium
Lineage: Bacteria
Description: partial 16S ribosomal RNA
Rfam family: Bacterial small subunit ribosomal RNA
Source: RNAcentral